Molecule: ribosomal RNA, 752 nt
Filed under: uncultured bacterium
Lineage: Bacteria
Description: bacterial SSU rRNA
Rfam family: Bacterial small subunit ribosomal RNA
Source: RNAcentral
CAGUCGAACGGAUAUCUUCGGAUAUGAGUGGCGAACGGGUGAGUAACACGUAGGGAACCUGCCUGCAUGAGCGGGAGAACUUCUGGAAACGGAAGCUGAUACCGGAUGAGCAAAGAGGAGGCAUCUUCUUUUUGGAAAAGGGGACAAGAGUCCCGCAUGCAGAUGGACCUGCGGUGCAUUAGCUGGUUGGAGAGGUAACGGCUCACCAAGGCGACGAUGCAUAGCCGGCCUGAGAGGGCGGACGGCCACACUGGGACUGAGACACGGCCCAGACUCCUGCGGGAGGCAGCAGUAGGGAAUUUUCGUCAAUGGGGGGAACCCUGAACGAGCAAUGCCGCGUGAGCGAGGAAGGUCUUCGGAUCGUAAAGCUCUGUUGCCGGGGACAAAAGGCAGAAAGAGUGGAAAGCUUUCUGAGUGAUGGUACCCGGCGAGGAAGUCACGGCUAACUACGUGCCAGCAGCCGCGGUAAUACGUAGGUGGCGAGCGUUAUCCGGAAUGAUUGGGCGUAAAGGGUGCGCAGGCGGCCGGGCAAGUCCGCAGUAAAAACUGGAGGCUCAACCUUCAGGGGCUGCGGAAACUGUCCGGCUGGAGAGCAGGAGAGGACGGUGGAACUCCAUGUGUAGCGGUAAAAUGCGUAGAUAUAUGGAAGAACACCGGUGGCGAAGGCGGCCGUCUGGCCUGCAUCUGACGCUGAGGCACGAAAGCGUGGGGAGCAAAUAGGAUUAGAUACCCUAGUAGUCCACGCUGUAAAC